Long non-coding RNA from Momordica charantia (bitter melon), 1525 nucleotides. RefSeq lists it as uncharacterized. The record is from RefSeq and is a predicted model, not a curated record. NCBI's taxonomy places the organism in Eukaryota, Viridiplantae, Streptophyta, Magnoliopsida, Cucurbitales, Cucurbitaceae.
UGGAACAACUGAAACUCCUUCAGAUAUAAUAAGGGAUCCAUUGUUUCAAUGUGAAAGCUUAUUGGAUUAUCGAUUAUGCAGAAGAAAUUUUCAACUAAAAUCGUUUGAGUAAGAAUGAAAGUAAAGCACCUUUACCUCAGUCGUGUGUCUUAGGGGUGUAAGUGACCGAACCAAACCGACGAACCAAACCGAACCGACUUAAAUUGGUUCAGUUAUAGACCAAGUCAGUUCGAUUCGGUUCGGUUUCUAGAAACCGAAAAAAAAGAUGCCCUACCUCUUAUAUAAUGUUCUGUCAUCUUCCCCGCCAUCUUAUCUCUCAAUAAACCCAUGAUUUCGCCCUUCUCUCUCAACACCCACAACUUUCCUCUCUCACCCUAUAGAUUUCUCACAAUUUCCUCUCUCUCUGGACAAACCCACAAAUUUCUCACGAUUUCAUCUUUCUCAACAAACUCAUCUCUCGACAAACUCAAUCUCUCUCAAGAAACCUUCUGAUUCUCUCUCAACGAACCCAUGGCCGACCUUCUGAUGAAAGGCAAACAAACCCACGGCGGCCAACCUUCCAACGAAAUCUCCAAACAAACCCAUUGGGUCUCUCUCGACAAACCCAUUCUCUCUCAAGAAACCUACGAUGGCGAUUCCAAUUUUGAACACCCAUUUAACCUUCAGACUGAAGGAUUUGGAUCUGGAAAAUGUUACAAAAUAAGGAUUUGGAUCUAGGUGUUCGUUGAGAACCCUAGACUGGUGAGAGAGAGAGAGAGAGAGAAAUCGAAACCGACCUGACCUGAAGCGACCCAAUCCGAAUUUCAACUCACAACUUUCGUAUCGGUUCGAUUUUGUCCGGAAACCGAUGGAGACCGACUAUUUACACCCCUAGUGUGUCUAGAGCCCGCCACCAAAGGGCUUUGUCAAAAUCAAUUCAGAUGCUACAUGUGGUCUGCCUGAAGGUAGAUCCGGAGUUAAGGUUUUGAUCAGAGAUAAAUCUUGCAGGAUUCAAGCGGCAAUGACUACCUCCCAUGUUUCUCUUAUUCGGUUCCUAGCGGAAAUGUUGGCUAUUCAUGAGGGUCUUUGUUUGGCGGCUUGUUUGGGCAUCUCCAAAAUCGUAGUCGAAUCCAACUCUUUGGAAGGUUUCUCUUUGAUCGCCGGUGGGGGGAAAUCCACAACGAAACGACCUCUUGGAUUGCUAAUAUUAGAACUUUGGCAGGAUCUUUGCAAGAUAUAUCCUUUUAGCAUGACUGCGAAGCAAAUGAGAUCGCUGAUGCCCUAGCCAAAGUUGCGCUGCGUUCUUAUCGUCCUAUUCUGUGGCUUUCGGGUUUUCCAACUUGGCUCCUCCGUAUGUGGAGUCUGAUAAUUUGUCUUUUGUAGCCUUUAUGGCAACAAGUUUUCUUAAUUGAAGUCUUUAUUUAAAAAAAAGUAUUGACAUGUGCAAACGGUUAAAUGGCAGAAGAGGACUUGGUUAUGUCGAUGAGAGUGUUAUUCCAUCUAGUUCCAAUACAAUUUUUGUUAAAGCAUUUUCUAUUGUGCAUAA